This 305-nucleotide ribosomal RNA is filed under the name uncultured bacterium. RNAcentral describes it as "bacterial SSU rRNA". It matches the Rfam family "Bacterial small subunit ribosomal RNA", at positions 337 to 634 of the family's 1533-position model. The record is from RNAcentral.
GCCUACGGGACGCAGCAGUAGGGAAUCUUCCACAAUGGGCGAAAGCCUGAUGGAGCAACGCCGCGUGGGUGAAGAAGGUCUUCGGAUCGUAAAACCCUGUUGUUAGAGAAGAAAGUGCGUGAGAGUAACUGUUCACGUUUCGACGGUAUCUAACCAGAAAGCCACGGCUAACUACGUGCCAGCAGCCGCGGUAAUACGUAGGUGGCAAGCGUUAUCCGGAUUUAUUGGGCGUAAAGGGAACGCAGGCGGUCGUUUAAGUCUGAUGUGAAAGCCUUCGGCUUAAACGGCGUAGUGCAUUGGAAACU